AGCCGCGUAGUGUAGUGGUCAAGCAUUUGGGGGUAUGAACCCUGAGACCGCGGUUCGAAUCCGCGCGCGGCUA
RNAcentral lists this transfer RNA (73 nucleotides) under archaeon. Its description in RNAcentral is "tRNA-His". It matches the Rfam family "tRNA". Rfam says of the family: Transfer RNA (tRNA) molecules are approximately 80 nucleotides in length. Their secondary structure includes four short double-helical elements and three loops (D, anti-codon, and T loops). The record is from RNAcentral.